This is a long non-coding RNA of Ostrinia nubilalis (European corn borer), 632 nucleotides long. RefSeq lists it as uncharacterized. NCBI's taxonomy places the organism in Eukaryota, Metazoa, Arthropoda, Insecta, Lepidoptera, Crambidae. The transcript has 2 exons. The record is from RefSeq and is a predicted model, not a curated record.
AGAAAAAGUCUUUGGAUUUCAUUACGAAAGACAGAACACUGCGAGCUAAAGUGUUGAUACGUAAACCAGGAGACAAGAAGUGUCUUUACACUGCAUUCGCCAAAAGCAUGGACUUGGUUUUAGAUGUGUACGGUCAUAAUGAUCAUCAAAAACCGUAUUGUUCUAGUAACUUCAGCGUACGAAUCAUUGAUCAAAUAUCCAUGAAGUCGGUGGAAUACGUCCACUACAUCAAUAAGGGACGAGAUCGGAAUACUUUUGCUGUGAGCACUGCAGCUUACUGGCAGAGAUCCGGGAGAUCUGGUAAAGACCAGUACUGGGUGUGCACGGGAUUGCCUGAUGAUUCUUCAGGAUAUGGUGGUCUACUGUUGUGUGCUGAUAACUUCUUUGUUUGGCAAAGUUUUGACAACUUUAAAGUUAAAGAACCGGUGUGCUAAGUUUGUUUGGAAGAUGUCAGUAUCUUCGUGGCCCUACUGCUUGUCCUAUCCGGUAAAUUGACGGGGAUAAAUGUGUGGUAUUGUUUUGGACAAUAAGCGCCGGAAAACUUACCCGUGAUAUCCAGUAGAGCAGUGAGCAGUAGGACCACGGGCAAAGUAACGUAUGAGUUUAUAAGUAAAAUAAAAGCUCGAAAUAUU